CACGUAUUUAGCCGUCGCUUCUUCUGUUGGUACCGUCAUUUCUUUCUUCCCAACUGAAAGCACUUUACAAUCCGAAGACCUUCAUCGUGCACACAGAAUUGCUGGAUCAGACUUUUGGUCCAUUGUCCAAUAUUCCCCACUGCUGCCUCCCGUAGGAGUAAGGGCCGUGUCUCAGUCCCCUUGUGGCCGUUCACCCUCUCAGGCCGGCUACCCAUCGUCGCCUUGGUGAGCUGUUACCUCACCAACUAGCUAAUGGGACGCAAAGCUCUCUUACAGCGCAUAUAGCUUUCAUAAAUCUUCCAUGCGGAAAAUUCAUAAUAUCCGGUAUUAGCUAUCGUUUCCAAUAGUUGUCCCAGACUGUAAGGCAAGUUCUUUACGUGUUACUCACCCGUCCGCCACCUUACUAUCACCGAAGUGAAUUCAAGUAGACUUGCAUGUGUUAAGCAUUCUGUCAGCGUUCAUCCUGAGCCAGGAUCAAACUCU
RNAcentral lists this ribosomal RNA (483 nucleotides) under uncultured Fusobacterium sp. RNAcentral's name for it is "partial 16S ribosomal RNA". The record is from RNAcentral. Lineage: Bacteria; Fusobacteriati; Fusobacteriota; Fusobacteriia; Fusobacteriales; Fusobacteriaceae.